RNAcentral lists this ribosomal RNA (440 nucleotides) under Curtobacterium flaccumfaciens. RNAcentral describes it as "bacterial SSU rRNA". It matches the Rfam family "Bacterial small subunit ribosomal RNA", at positions 21 to 473 of the family's 1533-position model. Lineage: Bacteria; Bacillati; Actinomycetota; Actinomycetes; Micrococcales; Microbacteriaceae. The record is from RNAcentral.
GGCUCAGGACGAACGCUGGCGGCGUGCUUAACACAUGCAAGUCGAACGAUGAUGCCCAGCUUGCUGGGUGGAUUAGUGGCGAACGGGUGAGUAACACGUGAGUAACCUGCCCCUGACUCUGGGAUAAGCGUUGGAAACGACGUCUAAUACUGGAUAUGAUCACUGGCCGCAUGGUCUGGUGGUGGAAAGAUUUUUUGGUUGGGGAUGGACUCGCGGCCUAUCAGCUUGUUGGUGAGGUAAUGGCUCACCAAGGCGACGACGGGUAGCCGGCCUGAGAGGGUGACCGGCCACACUGGGACUGAGACACGGCCCAGACUCCUACGGGAGGCAGCAGUGGGGAAUAUUGCACAAUGGGCGAAAGCCUGAUGCAGCAACGCCGCGUGAGGGAUGACGGCCUUCGGGUUGUAAACCUCUUUUAGUAGGGAAGAAGCGAAAGUGAC